This 436-nucleotide ribosomal RNA is filed under the name uncultured Anaerolineaceae bacterium. RNAcentral describes it as "bacterial SSU rRNA". It matches the Rfam family "Bacterial small subunit ribosomal RNA", at positions 925 to 1382 of the family's 1533-position model. The record is from RNAcentral. Lineage: Bacteria; Bacillati; Chloroflexota; Anaerolineae; Anaerolineales; Anaerolineaceae.
ACAAGCGGCGGAGCGUGUGGUUAAUUCGAUGCUACACGAAGAACUUACCAGGUUGACAUGCAAGUGGUAGGAAUCUGAAAGGGACGACCUUCGGGAGCUUGCACAGGUGCUGCAUGGCUGUCGUCAGCUCGUGUCGUGAGAUGUUCGGUUAAGUCCGCUAACGAGCGCAACCCUCACUGUGUGUUAUAUGUGUCACACGGGACUGCCGGUUUUAAGCCGGAGGAAGGUGGGGAUGACGUCAAGUCAGCAUGGCCUUUAUAUCCUGGGCUACACACACGCUACAAUGGUCGGUACAAUAGGUUGCCAAGCCGCGAGGCGGAGCCAAUCCACAAAGCCGGCCUCAGUUCAGAUUGUAGGCUGCAACUCGCCUGCAUGAAGAUGGAGUUGCUAGUAACCGCAGGUCAGCAAUACUGCGGUGAAUACGUUCCCGGGUCUU